Malus domestica (apple) is the source of this 2140-nucleotide RNA transcript. RefSeq lists it as uncharacterized. Lineage: Eukaryota; Viridiplantae; Streptophyta; Magnoliopsida; Rosales; Rosaceae. The record is from RefSeq and is a predicted model, not a curated record.
AUUUAAUCAAAUUAAUUACCAGAAAAAACGACGAGGGGAUUGCCUGUAAAGCACCAUUUUAAUUUUUAAUUGCAACACUAAUUCUUAUUAUUAUACAUGAAAAUCUGAUUAAGCAAAUCACUAAGCAGCAAGCACUACUACUAGUUUAACCAGAAGGCAAUCAGCGAAAGCCAGACUCCCAUUCCCGUCCCACCAGAGACAAAAUGUGGCGAAGGAGCUUUAGCAGCACCACCGGGACCGCCGCCGCUACAACCGCGUUGAAGGACAAGAAAUGGGACGCUCUCGUCAUCGGCGGCGGCCACAACGGCCUCACUGCCGCCGCAUACCUCGCACGCUCCGGCCUAUCCGUCGCCGUCCUUGAGCGGCGCCACGUGAUCGGCGGUGCCGCCGUCACAGAGGAGCUGGUUCCGGGCUUCAAGUUCUCUCGGUGUAGCUACCUCCAGAGCCUCCUCCGCCCCUCCAUCAUCAAGGAAUUAGAGCUGGCGCGGCAUGGAAUGAAGCUGCUGAAGAGGAGUCCUUCGUCCUUUACGCCCUGUUUGGAUGGAAGAUAUCUUCUUUUGGGGCCAAACAAGGACCUUAACCACUCUGAGAUUUCCAAAUUCUCCAAACAGGACGCCGAUGCUUAUCCAAGAUAUGAGACUCAGCUGGAGAAAUUUUGUGAAUUUAUGGACCCCUUGCUGGAUUCAGCUCCUCCUGAAUCUUUGCAAUGCGAGUCAUCUUGUAGUGUUAGUGAUCGGUUCAAGAAUAAGAUGCACAAUUCCAUGUUUUGGGCUCGGUGUCUGAGACAAGCGGCCGCCUUAGGCCAAAAGGACUUUGUCGAGUUUAUGGACCUUUUGCUAUCCCCGGCUUCGAAGGUUUUGAAUAACUGGUUUGAGGCAGAAGUUCUGAAGGCAACCCUUGCAACGGAUGCUGUAAUAGGAACUACGGGAAGUGUACAUACACCUGGGAGUGGAUAUGUUCUGCUACAUCAUGUGAUGGGAGAAACUGAUGGUGAGCGUGGAAUUUGGUCGUAUGUUGAAGGUGGGAUGGGUUCAGUAUCCUUGGCUAUUGCUAAUGCCGCUAAGGAAGCUGGGGCUCAUAUUGUAACAUGUGCAGAGGUUCAGCAAUUAUUGAUUAAUGACUCUGGCACUGCGGACGGGGUUUUGCUGACUGAUGGCUCACAGGUGCAUUCUUCAAUUGUUUUAUCAAAUGCAACCCCUUACAAAACAUUCAAGGAAUUGGUACCAGAUAAUGCUCUUCCUCCUGAUUUCGUCCGUGCAAUUAAGUACUCUGAUUACAGCGCUGGAACUACAAAAAUAAAUUUAGCGGUUGAUGCAUUGCCCCAGUUCAAAAGUUGCAAUUUAGGUCAUCCCGAUGCAGGUCCUCAGCAUGUGGGCACCAUUCACAUUGGUUCUGAGAGCAUGGAGGAGAUUAACUCAGCCUGUCAAGAUGCUGUCAAUGGAUUGCCAUCAAACAGACCAGUUAUUGAGAUGACAAUUCCCUCUGUACUCGACAAAACUAUUUCUCCACCUGGCAAGCAUGUGAUCAACUUGUUUAUUCAAUACACACCAUAUAGUCCCUCAGAUGGCCACUGGGGAGAUACUGUUUACAGAAAAUCUCCGCUCUGGGCCUCUGACUAGUUCUUUCAAAUGGCAUCGUACCUUUGCAGGAAUCGUUUGCACGAAAAUGUUAUAGCUUGAUUGAUGAAUAUGCACCUGGGUUUAGUUCAUCAAUUAUUGGUUACGACAUGUUGACUCCGCCAGACCUUGAAAGGGAAAUUGGUUUGACAGGAGGGAAUAUCUUCCAUGGUGCUAUGGGAUUGGAUUCGCUCUUCCUCAUGCGACCUGUGAAAGGAUGGUCAAAUUACAGAACGCCACUCAAGGGGCUGUAUUUGUGUGGGAGCGGAACCCACCCCGGGGGCGGUGUGAUGGGGGCACCCGGGCGUAAUGCUGCACGCGUAGUUCUUGAAGAUGUGAACAAGCCAUUAAAAUGAUUUUGAGAUUUGUGUCUUAACCAGGUACCAAUCUGACUGGUUCCAAUUUCUUAUGUUUCGGGUAUGCCGAAAAUUUCAGGCAUUCCACAUUGUGUUUGUAUCUUGUAUCUUCGUCGAACAAUACGAGACUGCAUUGUACCUGUUUCUGUUAAUUAUCUUUUGAUACAA